This 735-nucleotide ribosomal RNA is filed under the name uncultured marine bacterium. RNAcentral describes it as "bacterial SSU rRNA". It matches the Rfam family "Bacterial small subunit ribosomal RNA", at positions 97 to 869 of the family's 1533-position model. The record is from RNAcentral.
GGCAGACGGGUGAGUAACAUGUGGGUAUCUGCCCUUUGGCCUGGAAUAACACGAGGAAACUUGUGCUAAUACCGGAUAAGUCUUUACGGAGAAAGCUUUAUGCACCAUUGGAUGAGCCUGCACUUGAUUAGUUUGUUGGUGGGGUAAUGGCCUACCAAGACUGUGAUCAAUAGCUGAUUUGAGAGGAUGAUCAGCCACAUUGGGACUGAGACACGGCCCAAACUCCUACGGGAGGCAGCAGUGGGGAAUCUUGCACAAUGGAGGAAACUCUGAUGCAGCGAUGCCGCGUGAGUGAAGAAGGCCCUUGGGUUGUAAAGCUCUUUCGUCGGGGAAGAAAAUGACUGUACCCGAAUAAGAAGGUCCGGCUAACUUCGUGCCAGCAGCCGCGGUAAUACGAAGGGACCUAGCGUAGUUCGGAAUUACUGGGCUUAAAGAGUUCGUAGGUGGUUGAAAAAGUUGGUGGUGAAAUCCCAGAGCUUAACUCUGGAACUGCCAUCAAAACUUUUCAGCUAGAGUAUGAUAGAGGAAAGCAGAAUUUCUAGUGUAGAGGUGAAAUUCGUAGAUAUUAGAAAGAAUACCAAUUGCGAAGGCAGCUUUCUGGAUCAUUACUGACACUGAGGAACGAAAGCAUGGGUAGCGAAGGGGAUUAGAUACCCUCGUAGUCCAUGCCGUAAACGAUGUGUGUUAGACGUCGGAAAUUUAUUUUCAGUGUCGCAGAGAAAUCGAUAAACACAC